RNAcentral lists this ribosomal RNA (507 nucleotides) under Xylariaceae sp. ZW-WC-2012. RNAcentral describes it as "eukaryotic LSU rRNA". It matches the Rfam family "Eukaryotic large subunit ribosomal RNA", at positions 80 to 597 of the family's 3401-position model. The record is from RNAcentral. Lineage: Eukaryota; Fungi; Ascomycota; Sordariomycetes; Xylariales; Xylariaceae.
CUAGUAACGGCGAGUGAAGCGGCAACAGCUCAAAUUUGAAAUCUGGCCUUCGGGUCCGAGUUGUAAUUUGUAGAGGAUGCUUUUGGCGCGGUGCCUUCCGAGUUCCCUGGAACGGGACGCCUUAGAGGGUGAGAGCCCCGUACGGUUGGACACCAAGCCUCUGUAUAGCUCCUUCGACGAGUCGAGUAGUUUGGGAAUGCUGCUCUAAAUGGGAGGUAAAUUUCUUCUAAAGCUAAAUAUUGGCCAGAGACCGAUAGCGCACAAGUAGAGUGAUCGAAAGAUGAAAAGCACUUUGAAAAGAGGGUUAAAUAGCACGUGAAAUUGUUGAAAGGGAAGCGUUUGCGACCAGACCUUUUCCUAGCGGAUCAUCCGGUGUUCUCACCGGUGCACUUCGCUAGGUUUAGGCCAGCAUCGGUUUCUGUAGGGGGAUAAAAGCUCUGGGAACGUAGCUCCUUCGGGAGUGUUAUAGCCCUCUGCAUAAUACCUUUACGGGGACCGAGGACCGCG